RNAcentral lists this ribosomal RNA (501 nucleotides) under uncultured bacterium. RNAcentral's name for it is "partial 16S ribosomal RNA". It matches the Rfam family "Bacterial small subunit ribosomal RNA", at positions 29 to 523 of the family's 1533-position model. The record is from RNAcentral.
AUUGAACGCUGGCGGCAUGCCUUACACAUGCAAGUCGAACGGCAGCACGGGUGCUUGCACCUGGUGGCGAGUGGCGAACGGGUGAGUAAUACAUCGGAACGUACCUUAUCGUGGGGGAUAACGCAGCGAAAGCUGUGCUAAUACCGCAUAGGCCCUGAGGGGGAAAGCGGGGGAUCGAAAGACCUCGCGCGAUUAGAGCGGCCGAUGCCUGAUUAGCUUGUUGGUGGGGUAAAAGCCCACCAAGGCGACGAUCAGUAGCUGGUCUGAGAGGACGAUCAGCCACACGGGGACUGAGACACGGCCCAGACUCCUACGGGAGGCAGCAGUGGGGAAUUUUGGACAAUGGGGGCAACCCUGAUCCAGCAAUGCCGCGUGAGUGAAGAAGGCCUUCGGGUUGUAAAGCUCUUUUGUCAGGGAAGAAACACCGGCUCUAACACAGUCCGGGAAUGACGGUACCUGAAGAAUAAGCACCGGCUAACUACGUGCCAGCAGCCGCGGUAA